Molecule: transfer RNA, 77 nt
Filed under: Spirochaeta aurantia
Lineage: Bacteria; Pseudomonadati; Spirochaetota; Spirochaetia; Spirochaetales; Spirochaetaceae
Description: tRNA-Ile
Rfam family: tRNA
About the family: Transfer RNA (tRNA) molecules are approximately 80 nucleotides in length. Their secondary structure includes four short double-helical elements and three loops (D, anti-codon, and T loops). Further hydrogen bonds mediate the characteristic L-shaped molecular structure. tRNAs have two regions of fundamental functional importance: the anti-codon, which is responsible for specific mRNA codon recognition, and the 3' end, to which the tRNAs corresponding amino acid is attached (by aminoacyl-tRNA synthetases). tRNAs cope with the degeneracy of the genetic code in two manners: having more than one tRNA (with a specific anti-codon) for a particular amino acid; and 'wobble' base-pairing, i.e. permitting non-standard base-pairing at the 3rd anti-codon position.
Source: RNAcentral
GGACCAGUAGCUCAGUUGGUUAGAGCACCGCUCUGAUAAGGCGGGGGUCAGAAGUUCAACUCUUCUCUGGUCCAUCA